UUCGUAUAUCAUAAUAUUCACAUAAUGGUCACUGUACUUGUUUAUUAAUCAGUGUCCUAUGAAUACAGUGCUGAAGGUGAAAUAUGGACUCUAUAUAUUCAUUGUAAGAACGGACCUCCAGGUCAUGAGUACAUAACGUUCUGAGUAGAAAGGGCAGCUCUAAAUUUCACAGUCUUGUCAAGAGUUAAGGACCAAGCUGGGUACAAUGUUAGGGAUUAUUUAUAUUACAAGAAGCAUUCUAGGGGAGAUUUAGCUACUCUAGAGCCCAUAGAUUAUGUCAAACAGACUGACGUUAUGAUACAAGAUAAUAUCAUGGAGAAGGAAAUCAGACUAGUACUCACAGCUAGAGACAACAAAUCAAGUCAGCAUAACACCGAUGGAGCGACCAAGGCAGCAGAACGAAGAAGAUGAGAAUGACCAUCCGUUUAUGGAUGAUGAUUGCAAUGAAUACAAGGACGGGCUACAAAACCUGCCAGCAGCUAGAAGGCAUGGUAUAACCUCUAUGUUUCUAUGUUUUUAUUGGUAUUGUUUGUAAUCUUGGCAACUUUAUAUAAACUACAUCUUCUCUAAAAUGUUUUGGUCGCUAACAAUUUCAAGGAUGGCUCUAGGAGGGAAACAGUUGACACGUACAAGGAAUUUUUAAGGAUCAAAGGAGACAUGGAACAAAUCAGUAAUGAUUUUUCCUUUAUAGAGCAAUGUAAUUUACUUGUAUUUUUUUAACUGAACCAUUCAACCUUUGUGCAGUGGCAAUUGUUGAGCAACCUAACACUACUGAUAGCAUCACAGUUGAAG
This 792-nucleotide long non-coding RNA is filed under the name Sorghum bicolor (sorghum). Its description in RNAcentral is "long non-coding RNA (SBIC_LNC017420)". Lineage: Eukaryota; Viridiplantae; Streptophyta; Magnoliopsida; Poales; Poaceae. The record is from RNAcentral.